This 521-nucleotide long non-coding RNA is filed under the name Nicotiana benthamiana. RNAcentral describes it as "long non-coding RNA (NBEN_LNC020755)". Lineage: Eukaryota; Viridiplantae; Streptophyta; Magnoliopsida; Solanales; Solanaceae. The record is from RNAcentral.
AUAUAGCCUAUUAUCAAAUUUCUUUACAAAAAAAAGUAUCAUAUACAUAACGAAGUUUGAUGUUACUGAAGAUAUCAAGGGAGUUUUGCCUUGUUUUUAAUAUACGUGGGAAUAAAUCUCCAUUUUAGUGACGAAGUACACUGCAAUUCACACGCCUGGGGCCGAUUUCCGUCCAGCGAUGCACCAAUUUGAUAGUAGCAUAAACCCAAUCACCGGUUUCUAAAUUCUGCCCAAUUUCGCAUCCAAAUCCUCUUCUGCAGUCAUGGCGUCAUUCUAAAGAACCUCAACAACUACUCUUAGAGCUGCAAAAUACAUCAAUUUCUGAUAGAGUAGCAGCAAUCUAAGUCCCGUUUGAUGUAAUGGCCUGUCACUCUAAAGAACCUCAACAACUACUCUUAGAGCUGCAAAAUACAUCAAUUUCCGUUUGAUGUAAUGGCCGGUUCGUCUCUUCUCGAUUCUCUCUUCCAGCGAUCUUUAGAAGACUUAAUCAAAGGUCUCCGUCUCUACGUCGCCGACGAAUC